UUUUUUUCACUGAGGGAAUGGAAAGAUAAAAAUGUCUUGGUGGCUAAAGAUGGAGACCAGAAACUAAAAACUAUAUAUUUUAAACAAGAAAUUCAGAUGAAUAUAUGAGUCAUUAAGAAACAGUUGAAAUCUCUCCAACCAUAGGUUUGCUAUGUGAUGGCUACCAGACUUAUUAUGUAGUAAGUACUUGUUUUAAAUAUUAAGUAGAAUCUCAUACCAAGCUAAGAGAGGUAAGAGUGUAUAAUGAUAAAUAAAUCUCUUAGAUCAGCGUAGUCCCCGUAACGCAUUCUUUACAACUAAAAUAUCUGGCAUACACAUACAUAACACGCAGGCUGUACUGAAACCUCAGUUUUCAACAAAAUUGGCAUCUGUCAAACACAUCCAUCCUUAGAGUAAAAAUGAAAUCCUGGUAUAACAAUGCUCAAUGAUUUUCUAAAUUUAGCUGUUCCAAAUUAUAAAACAUUAUGAAUGAUUGAAACUCCCAGUGAGCAAAGCAGUUACUAGACUGAUGAUAAACAAAUUAUAAUAAGUUGAAAAUUUACAAUCUCAAGGUAAUAUUCUCUUAAUAAAGAAUGUACAUAAAGAUUGCAAUUGAAUCUUUCUAACGAUUUUCCAAGAGAUGUAUAAAGUUCAUCAGUAACACCCAAGUUUCAGGAUCUAAUAGUUGUAUGAAAAAAAGUACUGCAAGAAGGAGAAAGAGCUAGGAAAGAAAGAAGAGAGGGAAAGGAAGACCAAGAUGGAGCCCAGGAGGGAGAGGAGUGGGAGGGAGAAGGGGGUAGGCAGACGAGGAGAAGGAAGAGGAGAGGAGGGGGGAGAGAAAAACGCAGAACAGAGGACAUAGAACACAGUGGAAGAGAACACUGCUAUUAUAAUGUUGUACUGUUAAAGUAGCAUAGUGUUUAUCACUUCUUGGGUAAAUACUUCACAGAAGCCCUAAAACAAAAAAAGUUAAAAAAAAAAAAAAGAAAAAGCUUCAAUUUCCAAGGAUUAUCCCCCAUUGAACUAGUUGUCUUUUAUGGAUGUGACAUAUAUUCAGGGUUUUUAAAAAUUAUUUCCACUGAGAAGAUUAGUCAUUGAUUUCAAUAGGAUGUAAGAACAUUUACUAUGGGUGAUAGAAAGAUCAGACUGCCCCACACAAAACAAAACAAUAUAUGUAAUUAUUCAUAAAGAUUACAUUACAUAUAAAAUUAUUAAGCAUGUAACUGUAAUUUUCCAUUACAUAAUAUUUAUCAUAAUAAUCAUAAAUACUAUAGGCCAUCAAUCUUGUUUUAAUUUUUAAGAAACCAGUGAAAUGCUAAGGGUGGUAGCUAUGUAUAAUUUGUUAGAAUUUUUUAAAUCUCAGAUUAAGGUGUGAAAUAAUUUCUCUAUGACUUUUUUACAAAGCAUAUGUUUUUGACACAAUAUGGAUUUUUUUCAGGAGAAUAUGUAACCAAAAUGCAAAACUGGACAGAAUCUCCAGUGAAAAUAUAUUUGAGUGACAUAUGGCAACUUAAUAUAUUUCCAUUACUUUGGAGAAACUAAUUUUACAGUUGUAUGCUUGUUUUCCUUCAUUCUUCAAGAGCUCUAAUUUGUAUUCCAGAUAAAUCAGUUCAAUUACAUUUAAGCAAUUAUUGAUGUUCAGACAUUUCACUACUACGUGCAGGUAACGUAAAGAUGAAGUAGGUACAAAAUGCCUCUGCUCUCCUGACACUGUCUCCCGUUGUCCGAACCCAAUAAAAAGAGAGAACUAGAAAGGGAUCUAUAACUGUAGCCUGUGGAGCACAGCCUCCUGAGCACAGAGCAGGUGAGGAAGAGUGGAACCUUUCCAGCACAAUGCCCGAAGUCCAGCUUCCUCCCUUCCUACAAUACUCACUGUGAAAGGCUCCUAGAACCUUGAGCUUUGAAGAUAAGUAAACAUUUAUCGGGUAAACAAGGCAGGUCUGUAUACUGAGGAAAAGGGGGAAUAGACAGAGAGCCAGAAAUUUCCAGAUGAGAGACCAACUCCAGUUCAAGGUUCUUAGGGUUAGCAACUAUAGGUUAACAUAUGUAACUCUUUGCUAUUUUCCAAUGAGAACACUCAGAGAAGAUGCCAAGCCUUUUCUCUAGAAUUAGACAGGUCCCUUUCCUAGUCACCAGAUUUGACAGGCUGUUUGAAAACUAGUAUUCUACCAUGAGGAAAAAGAGGCACUUGUCCUAUCCCUUACAUUAUGUAAUUAACAGUUUUGCCCUGCUCUAACAAGUUACCAAAAAUUUGGUGGCUUAAAAACAACAAGAAUUUAUUAUUUAAUAGUUCUCAAGAUCAGAAGUCGGAAAUGGGUCUCACUUGGUUAAAAUCAAGAUGUUAGCAGGGCUGGGUUCCUUCUGGAAGGUCUGAAGGAAAUCUAUUUCCUUGAUUUUCCCAGAUUCCAGAGGCACCUCUUCUACCUUCAGUACCAGCAACGGCUGGUUGAGUCUUUUUCAUGUCACACCACAUUGUCAUCGACUAUGCCACCUCACUCUUUUAUUUUUAAGAAUCCUUGUGAUCACAUUUGACCCAUUCAGAUAAUACAGAAUCAUCUUCUGAUCUCAAGGUCAGCUGAUUAACAACCCUAAUUUCAUCUGCAACCUUAAUUCUUCCUUGCCAUGUGACUUAGCAUUUUACAGGUUCUAGAGACUAGAAUGUGGACAUCUUGGAGGAGGGAGCAUUAUUCUGCCUACCACACCCAGUAAGGUUUUAAAGACCCAAAUAACUCUGAGUGGUAUGGAAAGACAAGGCCUAAAAUGGGCUUGGGCUCAGGACCGUACCAAUUGUCAUUUAGCCACAACUGGAGAUGGGGUAUAGGAUGUACAGAAUCAUUUUAGUAAAUUUCUCUUUUCCAGGCAAAUAUAUAAAGACAGAAAGCAGACUGGUGGCUGUCUAACACUGAGGGUGGGAGUGGGGGUUAAUUUUAAAUGGGCAUGAGAGAAUUCUAAGGGAGUGGUGGAAAUGUGCUAAAAUAAGAUUGUGGUGAUGGUUGCAUAACUCUAUAAAUUUAAUAAAUAUUGUUGAAUUGAGGUAUAAACAAUACCUCAAUGAGAAUAUUAAAAAUUUCACUUUGCCUUAUGCACAUAAAUUUUAUUAAAAUUAUAAGACUCCCACUUGUGCAAGUAUUUGAGUAUUUGAAUGACGUGAGACUGAGGCACUCUCUUUUUGAGAUCUUUUAAAUGUGUCCACUGCUUCCAUUUUUGCUGAAAAUACUCUAUCUUCCCUCAGACUUAAAUGUUAAUGAGACAAGUAGUUAGACAUUGAUACUUAAAUAAUUUAUGCAUGUUUUCAGUGAUUUAAGGAAAUUCUGACAGGUCUCCUUGAUGGCAGAAUACAAGUCUUGAGAAAACCAUAUGAAAUUGCAGCUCUUUGGGAAACACCCCGGGGGUAUCACCUGCUAUCACCCUUCAAGAGUACUUACUGAGUGUUCCAUUUUGCAAGGACUCGUAUGAGGCACCAUAUAUGUAGACUUUUGCUGAUACUGGCCUUUUCCCUUCACACUAGCUCAUUGGAUCUUGCCAAUGUCACAUGGCUAACAGAGUGGAGUGGAAAUCAUUGAUGACUAAAUUCUCUAAACACGAAUAGAAAGGGCACCAAACAUAAGUCCAUUCUCUUUUCUGCCUUUCCUGUCCAUCCCAUUUUACAUUCACAAAUCAGCUCUACAAAAGACAUUGCUAGAUAUUGUUAGCAGCGUUUUGAGAAGCCAUGACCCGAAGUAGAGGCGUAGACCCACCCACACACCCUCCCACACACAGAAUUCCAAUUCUGGCGCUGAGGGGCAAUAGAGAAGAUCAGGUGGAAAGCCUUCACAAAUACUGUUCUAUAUGCCUGAAACAGGCGCUCCAUCUUCUGGCUCAUUCAUGUAUUUCUAAUUUCUGCUAAGAAGUCACUUAUUUAGAAAGUUCUUCAUGUAUUAUUCUGUCAUUCAUUACAUUUGUCACAUGUAAUUAUGUAUUAUUUGCCUGAUUAGAUUUAUUGUCUAUAUUCCCCACCUUGUUCAUUAUCAUA
Long non-coding RNA from Equus caballus (horse), 3991 nucleotides. NCBI's taxonomy places the organism in Eukaryota, Metazoa, Chordata, Mammalia, Perissodactyla, Equidae. The record is from Ensembl.